UACGUAGGUGGCAAGCGUUGUCCGGAUUUAUUGGGUUUAAAGGGUGCGUAGGUGGCCCUGUAAGUCAGUGGUGAAAUAUCUCAGCUUAACUGAGAGGGUGCCAUUGAUACUGCAGGGCUUGAGUACAGAUGAGGUAGGCGGAAUUGACGGUGUAGCGGUGAAAUGCAUAGAUAUCGUCAAGAACACCGAUAGCGAAGGUAGCUUACCAAGCUGUAACUGACACUGAGGCACGAAAGUGUGGGGAUCAAACAGG
This 253-nucleotide ribosomal RNA is filed under the name uncultured bacterium. Its description in RNAcentral is "partial 16S ribosomal RNA". It matches the Rfam family "Bacterial small subunit ribosomal RNA", at positions 524 to 776 of the family's 1533-position model. The record is from RNAcentral.